AGAAAGGAAACACGUGAGAGAGAGAGAGAGAGAGAGGAAGAAGAAAGGAGAAAGAGAGGGAGUUAGGCUCGGAUCUAGGAGUCUUUGUGACCGUUGCGAGCUCGGCUACACGAUAGAAAAUUGUUGGUGGAACUUAUUGAGAAGUAAGGAACAAGCCGAGCCCUAUUUUGUACAAGGGGAACCCUUUUAGUACCAAAGGGUUGAGGUCCAGGCGAAGGAUCCAGUGGUGGACGGGGAAAAGAGCAAAGCUAGGGGUUUGCUUGUGAUUUGUAAAGAACUGCAACCCCUUUCUUUUGAGCAAAUAUAUUGUAAUGUAUUUAAGAUUAGGGUGC
Prosopis cineraria is the source of this 332-nucleotide long non-coding RNA. RefSeq lists it as uncharacterized. Lineage: Eukaryota; Viridiplantae; Streptophyta; Magnoliopsida; Fabales; Fabaceae. The transcript is spliced from 3 exons. The record is from RefSeq and is a predicted model, not a curated record.